This 405-nucleotide unclassified non-coding RNA is filed under the name soil metagenome. Its description in RNAcentral is "partial contains 5.8S ribosomal RNA, internal transcribed spacer 2, and large subunit ribosomal RNA". The stretch from base 1 to 121 matches the Rfam family "5.8S ribosomal RNA", at positions 35 to 154 of the family's 154-position model. The record is from RNAcentral.
GAUGAAGAACGUAGCGAAAUGCGAUAAGUAAUGUGAAUUGCAGAAUUCAGUGAAUCAUCGAAUCUUUGAACGCACCUUGCGCCCUUUGGCCAUUCCGAAGGGCAUGUCUGUUUGAGUAUCAUGAACACCUCAACUCUUUAUGGUUUUCCAUGAUGAGCUUGGACUCUGGGGGUUUUGCUGGCUCACAGUCGGCUCCUCUAAAAUGAAUCAGCUUACCAGUGUUUGGUGGGUAUCAUGGGUGUGAUAACUAUCUACGCUUGUGGUUUUUCCACCAGGUAACCUUCAGCAGUGGAGGUUCGCUGGAGCUCAUAGAUGUCUCUCCUCAGUGAGGACAGCCCUUUGAAUGUUUGAUCUCAAAUCAGGUAGGACUACCCGCUGAACUUAAGCAUAUCAAUAAGCGGAGGA